UACGGAGGGUGCGAGCGUUAAUCGGAAUUACUGGGCGUAAAGGGCGCGUAGGCGGCUUGCCAAGUCAGGGGUGAAAUCCUGCAGCUCAACUGUAGAAGUGCCUUUGAUACUGGCGAGCUCGAGGGAGGUAGGGGUGCGUGGAACUUCUGGUGGAGCGGUGAAAUGCGUUGAUAUCAGAAGGAACGCCGGUGGCGAAAGCGACGCACUGGAUCUCUACUGACGCUGAGGCGCGAAAGCUAGGGGAGCAAAC
Molecule: ribosomal RNA, 250 nt
Filed under: uncultured bacterium
Lineage: Bacteria
Description: partial 16S ribosomal RNA
Rfam family: Bacterial small subunit ribosomal RNA
Source: RNAcentral